Molecule: ribosomal RNA, 379 nt
Filed under: uncultured eukaryote
Lineage: Eukaryota
Description: partial 18S ribosomal RNA
Rfam family: Eukaryotic small subunit ribosomal RNA
Source: RNAcentral
CAAUAGCGUAUAUUAAAGUUGUUGCGGUUAAAAAGCUCGUAGUUGGAUUUCUGCCGAGGACGACCGGUCCGCCCUCUGGGUGUGUAUCUGGUUUGGCCUGGGCAUCUUCUUGGAGAACGUAGCUGCACUUGACUGUGUGGUGCGGUGUCCAGGACUUUUACUUUGAGGAAAUUAGAGUGUUCAAGGCAGGCCGUCGCCUGAAUACAUUAGCAUGGAAUAAUGGAAGAGGACCUCGGUCCUAUUUUGUUGGUUUCUAGGGCCGAAGUAAUGAUUAAGAGGGACAGUUGGGGGCAUUCGUAUUUAAUUGUCAGAGGUGAAAUUCUUGGAUUUAUGAAAGACGAACUAGUGCGAAAGCAUUUGCCAAGGAUGUUUUCAUUAA